This 252-nucleotide ribosomal RNA is filed under the name uncultured bacterium. RNAcentral's name for it is "partial 16S ribosomal RNA". It matches the Rfam family "Bacterial small subunit ribosomal RNA", at positions 524 to 776 of the family's 1533-position model. The record is from RNAcentral.
UACGGGGGGGCAAGCGUUGUUCGGAAUUACUGGGCGUAAAGGGCUCGUAGGCGGCCAACUAAGUCAUACGUGAAAUCCCUCGGCUUAACCGGGGAACUGCGUCUGAUACUGGAUGGCUUGAGUUCGGGAGAGGGAUGCGGAAUUCCAGGUGUAGCGGUGAAAUGCGUAGAUAUCUGGAGGAACACCGGUGGCGAAGGCGGCAUCCUGGACCGACACUGACGCUGAGGAGCGAAAGCCAGGGGAGCAAACGGG